AACGAACGCUGGCGGCAUGCCUAACACAUGCAAGUCGAACGAACCCUUCGGGGUUAGCGGCGCACGGGUGCGUAACGCGUGGGAACCUGCCUUUAGGUUCGGAAUAACUCAGAGAAAUUUGAGCUAAUACCGGAUAAUGUCUUCGGACCAAAGAUUUAUCGCCUUUAGAUGGGCCCGCGUUAGAUUAGAUAGUUGGUGGGGUAAUGGCCUACCAAGUCGACGAUCUAUAGCUGGUCUGAGAGGAUGAUCAGCCACACUGGGACUGAGACACGGCCCAGACUCCUACGGGAGGCAGCAGUGGGGAAUAUUGGACAAUGGGCGAAAGCCUGAUCCAGCAAUGCCGCGUGAGUGAUGAAGGCCUUAGGGUUGUAAAGCUCUUUUACCAGGGAUGAUAAUGACAGUACCUGGAGAAUAAGCUCCGGCUAACUCCGUGCCAGCAGCCGCGGUAAUACGGAGGGAGCUAGCGUUGUUCGGAAUUACUGGGCGUAAAGCGCGCGU
This 498-nucleotide ribosomal RNA is filed under the name uncultured bacterium. RNAcentral describes it as "bacterial SSU rRNA". It matches the Rfam family "Bacterial small subunit ribosomal RNA", at positions 28 to 572 of the family's 1533-position model. The record is from RNAcentral.